GUUGGAAGAAGUGGCAAUAUCCCAGCUGGAACAACAGUUGAUACAGAUAUUACACACCCGUAUGAGUUUGAUUUUUACCUCUGUAGCCAUGCUGGAAUACAGGGUACCAGUCGUCCUUCACACUAUCAUGUUUUAUGGGAUGAUAACUGCUUUACUGCAGAUGAACUUCAGCUACUAACUUACCAGCUCUGCCACACUUAUGUACGCUGUACACGAUCCGUUUCUAUACCUGCACCAGCGUAUUAUGCUCACCUGGUAGCAUUCAGAGCCAGAUAUCAUCUUGUGGACAAAGAACAUGACAGUGCUGAAGGAAGCCACGUUUCAGGACAGAGCAAUGGGCGAGAUCCACAAGCUCUUGCCAAGGCUGUGCAGAUUCACCAAGAUACCUUACGCACAAUGUACUUUGCUUAAAAAAUCCAAGUAUUAUUCUCUGAGAGGAAGAACUGAAAAAUGAAUCAACAUACAACGUAUGUUUCCAGUGGAGUCAGUUGAGUAAGGACACCUCCAGCCAUACAGAAACCAACACUGUGUGGGGCCAGGGUCUGAUCCUUAUGUUGACACAAGAAAGAUUGUUUACUUCAUCAAGGAACACAGCAUCAUUAUGCAAUAUGAAACCAGCCAACUGCUUUUUGUGCGGUCUCCUAUAGGAAGUAUCGCGAUUGUUUCGUUUUCAUUUCUUGUAGUCUAACCCUUUUAAUGCCUUUACCUCAAGUUGCUUGGCAGCACAACUCUCUUUGCAAAAAAAAGUAAAGAAAAAGUAAAUGAUGGUUUAAAAAAUACACACCUAUAUGAAUAAUCAAAACGAUUGUUCACAAUUGUGUGUGCAAAAAAAUUAAUGUGCAUUCAUUUAUUCUUGUAAAGGUAUCUGUAUUUUUAAAAUAUAUACAUGCAUACUUAUGCAUAUAUAUCUGGAUCUAGAUUGAUAAUACAGUAGAUAUAUAUGUGUCUGUGUAUAUAUUUUAUUGUUCAUUCCAUUGGGGAACUUCCCCUUUUGUUCUCCCAUCACUACCACCUUUAUUUCUCUCUCUGUGUCCCUUGCCUUCAUCACCUACAUUUUUUUCCUAAUGCUGCCUGUAGCAGUCAAGUGUUCAUAUAUCUAGUUCAUUUGAAUGUGAAACAUGGCAAACUA
This is a long non-coding RNA of Carlito syrichta (Philippine tarsier), 1129 nucleotides long. RefSeq lists it as uncharacterized. The record is from RefSeq and is a predicted model, not a curated record. The transcript is spliced from 3 exons. NCBI's taxonomy places the organism in Eukaryota, Metazoa, Chordata, Mammalia, Primates, Tarsiidae.